AAUAGAUACCCAGGUAGUCCAUGCCGUAAACGUUGGGAACUAGAUGUGGGGACCAUUCCACGGUCUCCGUGUCGCAGCUAACGCAUUAAGUUCCCCGCCUGGGGAGUACGGCCGCAAGGCUAAAACUCAAAGGAAUUGACGGGGGCCCGCACAAGCGGCGGAGCAUGCGGAUUAAUUCGAUGCAACGCGAAGAACCUUACCAAGGCUUGACAUAUACGAGAACGCUGCAGAAAUGUAGAACUCUUUGGACACUCGUAUACAGGUGGUGCAUGGUUGUCGUCAGCUCGUGUCGUGAGAUGUUGGGUUAAGUCCCGCAACGAGCGCAACCCUCGUCGUAUGUUGCCAGCACGUAAUGGUGGGAACUCAUAUGAGACUGCCGGGGUCAACUCGGAGGAAGGUGGGGAUGAGGUCAAAUCAUCAUGCCCCUUAUGUCUUGGGCUUCACGCAUGCUACAAUGGCCGGUACAAAGGGCUGCAAUACCGCAAGGUGAGCGAAUCCCAAAAGCCGGUCUCAGUUCGGAUUG
This 523-nucleotide ribosomal RNA is filed under the name uncultured bacterium. Its description in RNAcentral is "bacterial SSU rRNA". It matches the Rfam family "Bacterial small subunit ribosomal RNA", at positions 777 to 1300 of the family's 1533-position model. The record is from RNAcentral.